This is an RNA transcript of Galendromus occidentalis (western predatory mite), 1709 nucleotides long. RefSeq lists it as uncharacterized. The record is from RefSeq and is a predicted model, not a curated record. The transcript has 2 exons. Lineage: Eukaryota; Metazoa; Arthropoda; Arachnida; Mesostigmata; Phytoseiidae.
ACUCGACGGCUGCGCGAGCCGUGGAAAGCCGGCUAAAAGGUCGACGGACUGCAUACGAAAGCAGAUUGGCGUUCCGCAUAAGCCGAAUCCCCGGCUUUGAAUCCAUUCGGUUCGUGACGCACCUCCUCGAUCAACAAGUGCUUCAAACGAUUGGCGGCUGAAAAGGCUUGACAGCAGAAAAUACAGGGUUCUCCGCUUUUCCAUCGCAGACCGAUAUCUUCGGAUUCUGUCAGGUAAGAGUAAAGGUCGUGUGGGUAAGAGAGAACUUCUGACUCAGUUUUUCGGGAAACUUCAAUUUCGUAUUCUCCCUAUGAUAAGGGCAUAUUCGCCACUAUCAUUCUCUCCGCUUGUGGUGUAUCAAUGAACUAUGUACGUUCUACUUCCCUGAUGGAAGGCUUUCUUCUGUUUCUCAAUCAGGCGUUCGAGUCGAAGGAGUGAAAACUUCGAUAGUGCUGCAUAUGACUGCGUCCAUACAGACCGUAUCUCCCGCUAGGCGGACGAUCGGAUUGGAAUGUGGAUUGUCCUGGAAAUGGUUAUCCCGGUAGGAAUGUUUGGUUCGAGCAAUUUCCUCCGUAGGAUGCCCGUAUUAUCGAUUGGCGUGCGCGUUCCCGUUUAACUCUCAUGAGUUUUUAGCCUAUGCCAGGUUUGAGUUCCCACUCAGUGGUUCGAGAAAUUCCGCGUUGCCAUCCAGGAAAGUUCAUUUACUCCGGGGACCCGUCUUUGGGAGGGAUUUUUUGAUCGGUCAUGCCCGCGAACUCUCGGAGGGAAUAAUCAUUAGCCCUCUAUGGCUCAACGGGAAUGGUCUCUAUCAUGGGAAGAUUAAUUAGCUAUCUAUGGCUCAACGGGAAUGGCCUCUAUCAUGGGAAGAAAACUAGCCCCGGAAGAACGAAUCAAAUGCAUCCGCUCCGAGCUGGAUCUUCCGGUCAGAGCCAAGGAUAGAACGGAGGUCGCUCAAGAGCCCUUAUCCCUUCCGUCAUUGGCCACUGUGUCCUUCACUGCACUAUUCGUGAACAUCGGCAUGGUCGCUAUGCCAGCGGAUUUCCAUCCGGGACUAUGCAUCGGGAGAACUAUCUGGGGGUUGCGGUCGAACGGUUUCCUUCCUACCCUGUUUUCCCUAUAGAAGCCCGUUGUGAGAUCGCUAUUGCAAAACGAGGCUGUUGACGUUCCCAGCCUCGGAUAGGUAGCUCUAAAUGCUCCCGCGACUGAAAUCUAUUCUGAUAGCUAAGCUAUUCUACGACUCCCACAGAAAUGAAGGAUCGAGCUGGGGGCGAGGCCCAUAGAUCCAAGGUGAGUCUCCCAAUCUUUUCGAGUGUGCAAUCACCCGGCGGUUCCUCGCAUGCAAAACUGAACUCCUUUCAUUGCAGAUACGAGCGAUUCCCUUCCCCCCAGGAGUGGGAGAGAAAAGCCGAGCGACCCAACAGUGAGUUGGAAGCCAAGAAUCUUUGUAUCGAACGCGCUCUAGAUACUUCAAAUACUUGGGGGAAGUAACGAAUGUCUUCAUCCAAACAGCAGGACUGUCGGUCCCGACCGAACAGCCGAACCCGAAGCAAGGAUCGAACAGUAGCUCGCCGUCCACGACUCCGGUCGAACCCACAAGAUCUCAGCUCUGGUAGACCACGGCCACGAUGGUCUGCCCCCAGGCUCAACCUAGGAUGAAUCAUAUCCAUUGUAUAUUUCUACUAAAAUUCAAUACAGCCCCUCUAUUUUAA